Oreochromis aureus is the source of this 1267-nucleotide long non-coding RNA. The record is from Ensembl. NCBI's taxonomy places the organism in Eukaryota, Metazoa, Chordata, Actinopteri, Cichliformes, Cichlidae.
UUUUUUUUUUUUUUUUUUUUUUUUUUUUUUCACCUUUUCUUGUUUAGUGAUGAGGUCGGAGAGGUUUUGGGGCCCUCCGUCCUGGACCCCCGCCGCCCGCCCUGGGUUGGUUUUCCUGUUUUUUGCUUUUUUGUUUUAGGGUUGUCGGGAGCCGACCCUUAGAGGGGGGGUACUGUCACGGACCCUGCUCUGGAGGACUCGGGGGUCCGUGAGCAGGAUGAAUUAUUAUUAUUAUUAUUAUUAUUAUUGUUGUUGUUGUUAUUUGGGGAUGUGUGUUUUUCUGCACUAUGCUGUUCCGUGUUCCACUCAUUUGUAUAGGCAGGGUGUGUAUGUGUGUGGUCUGCGGGUGUGGCUGGAGGAUAGAGGACAGCCGCAUGCAGGCCUGAUGGGUGUGGCCCUGCAGGAGGACUGGCCACACCUGAAGUUCCUGCCACACACCUGUUGGUGAUCAGUGCUCGUCGGGGGAGCUACUUAGGAGAGUGGAGCUUCCACCGGCGCGGGAUCAUUGAGUUAGCAUAUCGAGUUAGUGUGUGUCAGCAUAUGUCAGUGCUGUUUGUGUAUGCCCGCCGAGGGUUAGUGUUGACGGCUGAUUCUAUGGUUUUCCUGCAGGAGGAAGAGUGGUCCAGAGAGGCAGCACGCACGGGGGUGCGGAAACACAACCGCGGGGAGCACGAGCACAGACAUCGGAGGGAAGCACGCACACGGGUUCAAGGGAGCAACGGGGAGUCAUUGUGUUUACAGUUUUUCACUGUAAAUAAAGAGCACUGUUUGCAUCGCAGAGACUGCGUUUUGGGUCCUCCUUUCCCCACAUCCCCACGGUCUGCCUGGCGGACCGUGACAAGUGAUUAAAAAAUAAAACAGAAACACAUACCCCAGCAGACAAGGUCUCACAGCUGCAAAGAGAGUAUGAACAGCUCCUCCUCCUCAGAAACAUAAAGUUGGGGGUGAAGAUGAGGCCUGUUUCACUCUCUCACUGUCGGCCAUGAUAUUACAACUGAACCAAACAGCUGCUCUUCAUUCAGCUGUUAGUGAUGCUGCGUGUCUUUGCAGUGAAGCUUGAAGAAAACAACAGAGUUAUGUUGGCAUUCAGAGGAGAUCCAGUGACGCUGACUUGUAACAUAUCUGAGAAAAAUGCAUCACAUAUCUCCUGGACAAACAGCAGAUCUGUUUUUCAAUAUGCUAUUGAGACGAAUCGCACCCAUUCAAAUUUCUCAUCGAACAAACUUAAAAUAAAUCCCGAGUUACCUAUAAAUCUGAUUAUUUUUAG